Molecule: long non-coding RNA, 3207 nt
Organism: Olea europaea var. sylvestris
Lineage: Eukaryota; Viridiplantae; Streptophyta; Magnoliopsida; Lamiales; Oleaceae
Exons: 2
Source: RefSeq, a predicted model, not a curated record
GUUCUCCUUCGCGAGAACAUCGAUUUCAUGUAUUUAUUUGCCAAAAAUGAAACUCGGGUGAAUGAGAAAUUAGAGCUCAAAGUUGGUAAUUGGAAGUUGGUUUUGUGGGAAAAAAUACAUUUAUCCCACAUAGGAAAAUCAAGAAAACUUAAACUACUUUAUAUAUGGCUAUGCUUUGGACAUGUGUAAUCAUGUGUAGCAUAGAGACUCUCUCCACGUGCGCGCGCAGGGGUGCAAAUCACGAGCCGAAAUGGCCUUCGGGCCUUGAACUUAGGUGCGGGCGCGACCUGUGCACACGAAUGUCGGAUCGAACAAGGCAAAAAUGGCCCCCUCGGAGAGCCCAUGUUUUGUCAAUUUUUUUUUUUUUUUUUUUUUUGCUUUCUCCAAUGACUUUUGAGUUUCUAAACUGCAAAAACUCGCAAUGUUUAUUCCUAGAACUGAAAAGCUGAAACUCUAGUGGUUAAUGUCGUAACUCCAGUGACUCCAAUGGACAGGAAUCAGUCUAUAUAAGGGACGCUCACUCCAACAGUUCAAUACACGACGAAAAUUUCUCUCUGCAUACGAAAAUAUUCUUCCCAGUUUUCCACGCAGUGUCGUUUUUCCCAGUUCCAGUUUCCAUACAGUGUAGUUUCUGUUCUCUUCCAGUCACGUGCAAUUCGUCGGAGUAGGACCGUGGUGCUCGAAUUCUGCUUAUUACCGUUGUAUCCUGGGAGACAGCCGCUCGAACUGAAUCUCCAGCACCUACGGUGAGGGGGCAAAACUGUCUUAAGGAAACUGUGUACGCUCAGGCCUCGAUUUGAAAUCUGCUGCAGUUUGUGUUUUCUUUCUGUAGAUUUAUUUCGUUGCAGUUCGUGUAGUUUCUUUGCAGAUUCAGUUUAUCCUUGCAGUCUCAGUUUCCAUUUAUUUCUGCAGAUUAUUUUCGCAUCAGUUUCCAUUUGUUUUUGCAAAUUAUUUUUGCAUUGCUAUUUAAUUCAUGCAGUUUGUAGUUCUAUAGUGUGCAGCUUCCAGAUUCAUCGUUUACAGUUUUAGCCUGCAGUUAACUUAUAUUUCUGAUUUUAUGUUGCUAAACAUUUUUUUCCAGCCGCUGGAAAAUUCUGAAACGGAAUUUUUUUUUGAUAAAUUGAUAUCGUUUGCCUUGUGGUUAUCAAUUUCAAUAGUCGGCUAUUGCAUUUGAAUAAAACUUAUACAAUUGGUUUCAUCCACUAGCGACUUGUUUUCCUACAUAUUUUUGAAUUCAGAGUUGAGGCUGUUGUUGUAAAAUAAUAAAAUAAAAAAUAAAAAAAUCAUUCCCUGUCCCACAAUAUGCUUUUUAGUAUUAUCAAUUUGUGUAACAUGCUCUGCUGUAGCUACUUUGGCUUUUCUAUAGCUAAGAGGGAUUCUCGGUGGGCAUAAGCAUGGGUUUCUGAGGAGAGGCUUAUUUCAUUGCUUAUGAACAGGGGUUGAACACUUGUUGAGAGAUGUGAAAUGCUUUCAAGUAACGUCAAUUUGGGUUGAUUAUUUUGUUUGAAUAGAAUGAUGCUAUUUACUUCUAUUCCUAGACCAAUGUCGCUUGUGUCGAUACACAUGAUUUAAUUCAGAUUUCUCGAGAAGGAUCCUUUCAUUUACUCUGGUGCAUUUAGCAGUAGCUACAGAGCUUGGACAUUCCAAAGAGCUCUAUCUCAUGGCAUGUAAUUUUGUCAAGGAUUAUCCUUAAAAGUAUGCAUCUAUAAUGUUGUAUUAUUUAUAUUAACAAUCAUUGUUAAUCUUGAGAAAGAAUAUCAUGUUAUUGCUCUUAUUUAUUUUCUAAAUUUUUUGUUAGUUUUCCACCAUAGUUGAGUGUAUGACUUAAACUAUCAGGGAAAUAGGUUAUUAUGUGAAGAAAGCAACCCUAGUAAUUAAUACCAACUAUUAGGUUUGAACAUGAUUUUUUCACUCCUAGCAACAUUUCUAAAUUGUUUAAAUUAAGAAUAUUUAAUUUAGUUGACAAUAGAGCACAGAUGCAUUAUGAUUCUAACCAAUAGAAUGGAACAUAGCUAUUAUCUUCUUUAGUCAUCUAUGGAGGUGGCGUGCAAAGUUCUAGGGAGUGAGAGAAUAUUAGGAUUUUUGUCCAUAAAAGCUGUUAUGCAAAUUGGAGCUUAUGUUAGAAACCAAAUGCAGUGGUUGUGCAAAAUAUAAAAACACAAUUUUCCUAUCUGUUAUGCAAAUUGGAGCUUAUGUUAGAAACCAAAUGCAUUACCUAUGUUAAAAAAUCUAGGGCACCAUACACUGAUAUAGAAACUUUAGCUCCUAGUCGUUUUUGAUUGGUUAAUAUUGUAAGUUUCUUCAAAGUUCGCAUUUAGUUCCCUCCUGAGUUUGACUUUUACUUUAUUACAUGAUUUUCUAUGUAUAUGUAUAUUUUACUCCAAUGUGAGUGUGGGACAAUUUAAGAAUCAUCUGCAUUAACACUCUGUACCCUGAGGGCUUGAUGCAUAUUUUUGUAAAAGUCAAUGGAUUAUAUUUUAAUUAUUGUAUUUGUACUAAUCAUGUAACAUGCCUCUUAACAAUUACCAGCAGACUUUCUUGUGUUUCAAUGGGGCUAGCUGUUGAGGCAUAAAAGCUGAUUUUCUAUUUAACGUAUAGAAUUUCCUGUGUUUGAAUGUGGCGUUAGCUGUUGAGGAAGUAAUUGUAAAUGUUGCAGUGCAGCUGAUUGCCAUUCACUCAAAAUUUAUUUCUAAUUACUAUGCUUCGUGGUGGCUUAAAUUUUACAUCUAAAUACUACGUUAGUUUUAGGGUAAUUGAUUUUAUGCUUCAAAUGAAGCUAUCACAAAAAUGUUUCUGCUUGUUUUUUAUGUUUGAAGUUCAUUAGUUUUAAGGAUUUUUAGAAAAAGCUAACUGCUUGUUACUAUAGAAAGUCUUUUUACGAAGAUGGUAAGCCCAUAAUGAACAGUACAGCUGCAAAUUUGAAGUUUCGCAUUUAUGCUGCACUUCAUGAUCCCUUCAAUGGGGAAGUAAAUGAAGGAUUGGAAUGAUGAAAGAUGGAAGAUUUCAGUGAAGGAUUAAGGUGUAAAAUGGAAGAUGCUAGCAUAGAAAUGUUGAUAUGGAAGUCGUUGAAGUUAAUUUUGUACUAAAACCGGCUUAUUUGAUGAAGCUAUUGAAUUUUAUUUUAUUGAUGUGUUCUAGUUCAUUUUUGUGUAGAUUAAAAAAUUUGUAAUGAAGUUAUUAUCAAUGUUGUUGAUUAACUUGUGUAAA